This 253-nucleotide ribosomal RNA is filed under the name uncultured bacterium. RNAcentral's name for it is "partial 16S ribosomal RNA". It matches the Rfam family "Bacterial small subunit ribosomal RNA", at positions 524 to 776 of the family's 1533-position model. The record is from RNAcentral.
UACGUAGGUGGCAAGCGUUGUCCGGAUUUACUGGGCGUAAAGCGCCCGUAGGCGGCCUGACAAGUUGGACGUGAAAGCUCCUGGCUUAACUGGGAGAGGCCGUUCAAAACUGUCAAGCUAGAGUCUGGAAGAGGAGAGCGGAAUUCCCGGUGUAGUGGUGGAAUGCGUAGAGAUCGGGAGGAACACCAGUGGCGAAAGCGGCUCUCUGGUCCAAAACUGACGCUGAGGGGCGAAAGCGUGGGGAGCGAACGGG